ACACUGAGGUGUAAAUCAGAGUUUGAAGAGCAGCUACAUGCAGAACUGCAGAAGCCACUUCACAUUUUGCUGAUCAGCUUUCUCCCAAGAUGUUCAGGAUCGUCUCUCAACAACUACUUCAGGCCGCUGGACGGUUUAGCGGCCUGGCUAAGACACACUACAACUCUCAGUGUGAAAAGCCUGCAGCUCCAAGGAUGAGACUCCGAAAGGUCGUCGAUUCAGAGAACAAAAACCUGGCCAGGGUCUGGAGCGAGUACGCCAGGCGGUAUCCUUUGAUUUUAGAUUCCAAAGACUUGCUGUUGAAAACUUCAUCGGUCGACCCUGUCGCUGGUGAAGCAGAGAAUAGCAGAGCAAGUCCAUCAUCUACUGGAUUUGAUCAUUUGUUCCUGGAAGCUGCUCUGGUUGCACUCGGACUGGGCAUUACAUCCAUACAGGGGUUAUGCCUCAUGGCCGUCGCCACCUGUGUGCUCUGAUGGUCCGGAAAGGGCCAAGAGGGCUCGCCACCAGCCAGAGGAAACUUCUAGACCUCAGACCGGAUCCAGCACGUCAACUUUAUGGACAUCGUCUUAGAGCUGGUGCUGCUGGGAAUUCUGGGAAGAGCGAGGGUGCAUCAGAUCAUUUCAGUAAGAGAGUCUGUGCUCUAUGGAGUCUAGAAUGAAUCUGUGCUGCACUACAAGUGUAGUCAAACACCGGAGACGAAGGCUCUUUUUGGACCAGCUGAUUGCUCUCAUCUAUUCGUGCGUUACGCCCAGAUGGACUGAACGGCAGUACACAGAGCGUUAUUUAUUCCAUCUUCAGACUGAGAUGCUGAACUUCAUGGAUGAAAUCUUCACUCUGGACGAGUCUUUGUACGCAGAACCUGAAGCCCUGGCUGCUGCACUGGAGACGCUUUUAUGGCGGAGCCUCCGACGGUUUCAUGAAAGGCUGGAAACAGAACACAUCUAAAGGCCAACCUUGAUUAGAACCUUUAUUUAACUGUCAGGGAUGCAGGUCUGGUGGUUGACGUGUUUUUAAUGUGUGUUCACAGUUUCUGUACCUGUGGAGGUGCGUCAGGACCCAAGACAUGGGCGACAUGUGAAGAUACCACCAAUUUAUUGAGAUUUCAGAGAGACGUGCUGCCAUUAAGUUGACGUCUUUACAUCAGGACAACGCCCAGAUGACUUCGUGGACCAGAUCCAGAUGUGUAAAAGCUGAUGUUUUGUGAAAAUGUAAUAAAAAGAAGAAACUGUGA
Molecule: long non-coding RNA, 1231 nt
Organism: Trichomycterus rosablanca
Lineage: Eukaryota; Metazoa; Chordata; Actinopteri; Siluriformes; Trichomycteridae
Exons: 3
Source: RefSeq, a predicted model, not a curated record